UACGGGAGGCAGCAGUGGGGAAUAUUGGACAAUGGGCGCAAGCCUGAUCCAGCCAUGCCGCGUGUGUGAAGAAGGCCUUCGGGUUGUAAAGCACUUUUGUCCGGAAAGAAAAGUUCUCGGUUAAUACCCGGGGAUCCUGACGGUACCGGAAGAAUAAGCACCGGCUAACUUCGUGCCAGCACCCGCGGUAAUAA
RNAcentral lists this ribosomal RNA (194 nucleotides) under uncultured bacterium. RNAcentral's name for it is "partial 16S ribosomal RNA". It matches the Rfam family "Bacterial small subunit ribosomal RNA", at positions 340 to 526 of the family's 1533-position model. The record is from RNAcentral.